This 460-nucleotide long non-coding RNA is filed under the name Marmota monax (woodchuck). Lineage: Eukaryota; Metazoa; Chordata; Mammalia; Rodentia; Sciuridae. The record is from RNAcentral.
GGGGUCUUCAAGAUGACUACCUAUGUGCCUGCUCGCUGGCCUCAUUCUGUGUCCAGCCUGCACACUGUCAUUAGGAGAAUUCUAGCCCCCAUCACCCCCAGGCUGAGCAGUACCCCCCGCGGAGGCUCCUGAGCCAAUCCCCAGGUACUUCCACCCAAGGUGCCUCAAGCUAAGCUCCACAGGGAAUGUAGUGGGGUGAGAACUUUUCCAUACGUGAUGCCCACCCACGGGGGCUGUUUAGAUUUAGAGGUUGCACAGAAUCGCUCUGCAUCUGGGAGACCAAAAGGCAAUUCUCUGGAAGCUGGUUAGCGUUAGCGGGGGGGAGCUCCCGAGCUCCCUGGAGAGGAAUCGGGAUGUCAGAGAGACCCUUUGUGCCACCCGGCUGCCUCUCUUGCAGACCCCGUCCCUGGCACAGAGCCUCCCCCUGGCUCCUUUCCUCCACUGACAUCCUGUAGUGGCC